CCGGCGACCGGCGCACGGUGAGUAACACGUAUGGAACCUGCCCGCAGCAGGGGGAUAAGCGGAAGAAAUUCCGUCUAAUACCGCGUAACACCGCGGAGGGGCAUCCCUCGGCGGUUAAAGAUUCAUCGGCUGCGGAUGGCCAUGCGGCGCAUUAGCUAGUCGGCGGGGUAACGGCCCACCGAGGCGACGAUGCGUAGGGGUUCUGAGAGGAAGGUCCCCCACACUGGUACUGAGACACGGACCAGACUCCUACGGAAGGCAGCAG
RNAcentral lists this ribosomal RNA (265 nucleotides) under uncultured bacterium. Its description in RNAcentral is "partial 16S ribosomal RNA". It matches the Rfam family "Bacterial small subunit ribosomal RNA", at positions 88 to 354 of the family's 1533-position model. The record is from RNAcentral.